Long non-coding RNA from Oncorhynchus gorbuscha (pink salmon), 407 nucleotides. RefSeq lists it as uncharacterized. The transcript is spliced from 3 exons. The record is from RefSeq and is a predicted model, not a curated record. Lineage: Eukaryota; Metazoa; Chordata; Actinopteri; Salmoniformes; Salmonidae.
GUGUGUGUGUGUGUGUGUGUGUGUGUGUGUGUGUGUGUGUGUGUGUGUGUGUGUGUGUGUGUGUGUGUGUGUGUGUGUGUGCAGAGGCAGAAGGAUAUGGGCUAGAGGGGCCAGCUGAGUUUUCAAAACUUUCACAGGAGACCGAAAUAGCCCCGAGAGUGUUCACCACUUUAACCGCUCGUGUGUCCUGUCCUUCUGCACGUCCUUUGACUCCCAGAGUGAUCAGUGGGAAGAGGGAAGAGAACACGAAAGAGAGGGGGAAAAAUCUGCAAAAGACUGAUGACCCCGGACAUAGUGAAUAAUCGGAAGCCGCGGAGUGAGGAGGGAAGGAGGGACGGAGCGAGGGAGACCUGAGUCCUAGGAUCAUGCCUCAGGACUACCUUGCAUGAUGACUCCUUGCUGUCCGC